Long non-coding RNA from Octopus sinensis (East Asian common octopus), 215 nucleotides. RefSeq lists it as uncharacterized. The transcript has 3 exons. NCBI's taxonomy places the organism in Eukaryota, Metazoa, Mollusca, Cephalopoda, Octopoda, Octopodidae. The record is from RefSeq and is a predicted model, not a curated record.
UCAGACGUGAGCUCUUCCAAUUUGAAGAUUUUCAGCAAUUUUUCGCUGGCUAAGACCAGCCUCAGAUUACCCAGCGAUACGACCUCUUUGAACAUCUGACAGUUCUGUUGAAUUUUUUGUGUGUGGCUUGGUUACUCUUCGCAAAUGUUUAAAAUAAUGGCACCUGGAAUGAAAAAGAAUAAUUACAUUGUAAAUUCUACACCGCUGAAAAUAUA